Molecule: long non-coding RNA, 483 nt
Organism: Prosopis cineraria
Lineage: Eukaryota; Viridiplantae; Streptophyta; Magnoliopsida; Fabales; Fabaceae
Exons: 3
Source: RefSeq, a predicted model, not a curated record
GUUCGAAGUGAAGUCAGGUCACUCAAACAUCAAAAAGUGAGAAAAUUAAAGGAUUUUGGGACUGUACCACAUACCGCGGCAUGCACAAGCUUAACUAUGGUGUACGUGCAACAAUGGGUGAAGGAACUAGCUCAUUGAAUUAGGAUUGAGGGAAAUGACUAGAGGCAUAGAAUUCAGUAAAAAUCCUACAAACCACGGUGAAAAUCAUGCAAGAGACCAAAAAUCAAGUUAUGUCGGAAGCCAUAAAACUUCUACAUUUAAUGGGUGGUCUAUCAAAGAAAGUAGUAUCAAAAUUAUCCUCCGAAACCAUAUGGGCGAGACAGAUGGCACAACGGUUAGCUUCUUUGUAGACGUGGUCAAAGGAGAUUUUCUAAUUUCUCAUAGCGAAGCUUCAAAUGUUCUUUAAAAUUUGUGCAAGAGGGUGGCUUAUUGAGUAGGGCUUUUGUGUUUGUCUCUAUGCUACUCUUUAUGGUGUUUUUGUUC